GUCACAGCAAUGGCAGCUGAUGGCUCUAAGCUGUUGCGCCUACUGAACACUCUCUGCACAGCGUUUACAAAAAGAGACCUUUAACCUCUCUCUCCCUACACUAAUGAAACUCACACGACAAAAUGAUGAAAUAAGUAUUCACUGCAAAUAAAUAAUAAACCGAGAAUUAAUUACGCAAAGAAAUCCCAUAAAAACUGAUUACAAUGGAAAACAUCAUGAGCAUUAUAACGGACUCAUUACGUAUUAUUUAACCCCUUAAGGACACAUGACAUGUGUGACAUGUCAUGAUUCCCUUUUAUUCCAGAAGUUUGGUCCUUAAGGGGUUUAAAAAGUGUCAACAAAUUCUGUAGCGCUGUACAAUAGGCAAGCAUUCUACUGAAUCAUGAUGCAGGAAUUCUACAUUCAAACAUGACGCUCCAGCGCUAUUCAGCGUCUCAACAUCACAUUGCAUUCUUCGCUUUUAUAUAUUACAUCAUAAUUUAUGUUUCAGCUAUGAAUCCUAACCAUGGGAGGCCUACUGCGGAGAAAUUAUUGGACAUUGCUAUGCUAAUUCAUACACAUUAUCAAAGCACAAAGUAGGAGAGAAACGAGGAAUACAUUUACUUAUAUUAACAAAUAUUCCACGGCUCAUGCCUUUGCAACAACAUACUUGUACAAAGAAGAGUAUUAGAGGACUAAUCCCCAAUAUGAUUACUCAGUACAUCAUGAGAAGAAAAACAGCACACCUGGCAAAUAUUGCAUCCAGGAUAAAUUAU
Molecule: non-coding RNA, 755 nt
Organism: Pelobates cultripes (western spadefoot toad)
Lineage: Eukaryota; Metazoa; Chordata; Amphibia; Anura; Pelobatidae
Source: the annotation of a GenBank genome assembly